GCUUAGUUGGUAGAGUGCUUGCCUCACAUGCAGAAUGUCCUGGGUUCAAUCCCCAG
This 56-nucleotide transfer RNA is filed under the name Urocitellus parryii (Arctic ground squirrel). Its description in RNAcentral is "Spermophilus parryii (Arctic ground squirrel) tRNA". It matches the Rfam family "tRNA", at positions 10 to 63 of the family's 71-position model. From Rfam's summary of the family: Transfer RNA (tRNA) molecules are approximately 80 nucleotides in length. Their secondary structure includes four short double-helical elements and three loops (D, anti-codon, and T loops). The record is from Rfam by way of RNAcentral. RNAcentral also lists the same sequence under 2 other names. Lineage: Eukaryota; Metazoa; Chordata; Mammalia; Rodentia; Sciuridae.